UACGGGGGGGGCAAGCGUUGUUCGGAAUUACUGGGCGUAAAGGGCUCGUAGGCGGCCAACUAAGUCGGAUGUGAAAUCCCCAGGCUUAACCUGGGAACUGCAUCCGAUACUGGAUGGCUUGAAUCCGGGAGAGGGAUGCAGAAUUCCAGGUGUAGCGGUGAAAUGCGUAGAUAUCAGGAGGAACACCGGUGGCGAAGGCGGCUACCUGGACAGAAACUGACGCUGAGGCACGAAAGCUAGGGGAGCAAACAGG
RNAcentral lists this ribosomal RNA (253 nucleotides) under uncultured bacterium. Its description in RNAcentral is "partial 16S ribosomal RNA". It matches the Rfam family "Bacterial small subunit ribosomal RNA", at positions 524 to 776 of the family's 1533-position model. The record is from RNAcentral.